This 637-nucleotide ribosomal RNA is filed under the name Desulfosporosinus sp. PR7_D03. RNAcentral's name for it is "bacterial SSU rRNA". It matches the Rfam family "Bacterial small subunit ribosomal RNA", at positions 147 to 762 of the family's 1533-position model. The record is from RNAcentral. Lineage: Bacteria; Bacillati; Bacillota; Clostridia; Eubacteriales; Desulfitobacteriaceae.
CCCUUGGAAACGAGGGCUAAUACCGGAUAAUCUUAGAACUUGGCAUCAAGAUUUAAGGAAAGGUGGCCUCUGAAAAUGCUACCGAUUAUGGAUGGACCCGCGUCUGAUUAGCUAGUUGGUGGGGUAAAGGCCUACCAAGGCGACGAUCAGUAGCCGGCCUGAGAGGGUGAACGGCCACACUGGGACUGAGACACGGCCCAGACUCCUACGGGAGGCAGCAGUGGGGAAUCUUCCGCAAUGGACGAAAGUCUGACGGAGCAACGCCGCGUGUAUGAUGAAGGUCUUCGGAUUGUAAAGUACUGUCUUUGGGGAAGAAUGACUGGCUUGAGAAUAUUGAGUCAGUAUGACGGUACCCAAGGAGGAAGCCCCGGCUAACUACGUGCCAGCAGCCGCGGUAAUACGUAGGGGGCAAGCGUUGUCCGGAAUUAUUGGGCGUAAAGGGCGCGUAGGCGGAUGCUUAAGUCCGGUGUGAAAGAUCAGGGCUCAACCCUGAGAGUGCAUCGGAAACUGGGUAUCUUGAGGACAGGAGAGGAAAGUGGAAUUCCACGUGUAGCGGUGAAAUGCGUAGAUAUGUGGAGGAACACCAGUGGCGAAGGCGACUUUCUGGACUGUAACUGACGCUGAGGCGCGAAAGCGU